UUCGGGGACAUUGGUGACAGGUGGUGCAUGGUUGUCGUCAGCUCGUGUCGUGAGAUGUUGGGUUAAGUCCCGCAACGAGCGCAACCCUUGUCUUUAGUUGCCAUCAUUAAGUUGGGCACUCUAGAGAGACUGCCAGGGAUAACCUGGAGGAAGGUGGGGAUGACGUCAAAUCAUCAUGCCCCUUAUGCUUAGGGCUACACACGUGCUACAAUGGGUAGUACAGAGGGUUGCCAAGCCGUAAGGUGGAGCUAAUCCCUUAAAGCUACUCUCAGUUCGGGUUGUAGGCUGAAACUCGCCUACAUGAAGCUGGAGUUACUAGUAAUCGCAGAACAGAAUGCUGCGGUGAAUGCGUUCCCGGGUCGUGUACACAACGCCCGUCACACCACGGGCGUUGGAGACGCCCGAAGCCGCUUAUCUCACCGUUUGGAAGCAGUCGUCGAAGGUGGAAUCAAUAACUGGGGUGAAGUCGUAACAAGGUAGCCGUAUCGGAAGGUGCGGCUGGAUCACCUCCUUUCUAAGGA
Molecule: ribosomal RNA, 521 nt
Filed under: Clostridioides difficile
Lineage: Bacteria; Bacillati; Bacillota; Clostridia; Peptostreptococcales; Peptostreptococcaceae
Description: bacterial SSU rRNA
Rfam family: Bacterial small subunit ribosomal RNA
Source: RNAcentral